UGGGGUGUAGUUCAGUGGUAGAGUGUUUGCCUAGCAUGUGCAAGGUCCUGGGUUCAAUCCCCAGCACACCAA
This 72-nucleotide transfer RNA is filed under the name Ictidomys tridecemlineatus (thirteen-lined ground squirrel). RNAcentral's name for it is "Spermophilus tridecemlineatus (thirteen-lined ground squirrel) tRNA". It matches the Rfam family "tRNA". Rfam says of the family: Transfer RNA (tRNA) molecules are approximately 80 nucleotides in length. Their secondary structure includes four short double-helical elements and three loops (D, anti-codon, and T loops). Lineage: Eukaryota; Metazoa; Chordata; Mammalia; Rodentia; Sciuridae. The record is from Rfam by way of RNAcentral.